RNAcentral lists this ribosomal RNA (496 nucleotides) under uncultured bacterium. RNAcentral's name for it is "partial 16S ribosomal RNA". It matches the Rfam family "Bacterial small subunit ribosomal RNA", at positions 29 to 523 of the family's 1533-position model. The record is from RNAcentral.
AAUGAACGUUGGCGGCGUGCCUAACACAUGCAAGUCGAGCGUGAAAGUCCUUCGGGAUGAGUAAAGCGGCAGACGGGUGAGUAACGCGUGAGAAUUUUCCUUUCAGUGAAGAAUACCUUUGGGAAACUAAAGUUAAUACUGCAUAAGUCUCUAACGAGAGAAAGAUGGCCUAAUUGCUGUCGCUGAAAGAUAAGCUUGCGUUCUAUUAGCUAGUUGGUGAGGUAAUGGCUCACCAAGGCGAUGAUGGAUAGCCGGCCUGAGAGGGCGAACGGCCACAUUGGAACUUAGACACGGCCCAGACUCCUACGGGAGGCAGCAGUGGGGAAUAUUGGACAAUGGGGGGAACCCUGAUCCAGCCAUGCCGCGUGUGUGAAGAAGGCCUUAUGGUUGUAAAGCACUUUAAGCGAGGAGGAGGCUACUCUAGUUAAUACCUAGGGAUAGUGGACGUUACUCGCAGAAUAAGCACCGGCUAACUCUGUGCCAGCCGCCGCCGUAA